This 426-nucleotide ribosomal RNA is filed under the name uncultured bacterium. RNAcentral's name for it is "bacterial SSU rRNA". It matches the Rfam family "Bacterial small subunit ribosomal RNA", at positions 355 to 776 of the family's 1533-position model. The record is from RNAcentral.
UCGGGAAUUUUGGGCAAUGGGCGAAAGCCUGACCCAGCAACGCCGCGUGAAGGAUGAAGCUUUUCGGAGUGUAAACUUCAUAAGAAUGGGACGAAUAAGGAGGGGUUAACACCCCCUUUGAUGACGGUACCAUUUGUAAGCUCCGGCUAACUCCGUGCCAGCAGCCGCGGUAAUACGGGGGGAGCAAGCGUUGUUCGGAUUUACUGGGCGUAAAGGGCGCGUAGGCGGCGCAACAAGUCACUUGUGAAAUCUCCGGGCUUAACCCGGAGCGGCCAAGUGAUACUGUCGUGCUAGAGUGCGGAAGGGGCUACUGGAAUUCUCGGUGUAGCGGUGAAAUGCGUAGAUAUCGAGAGGAACACCUGCGGCGAAGGCGGGUAGCUGGGCCGACACUGACGCUGAGGCGCGAAAGCCAGGGGAGCGAACGGG